GCCUCGGUGGUGUAGUGGUAGAGCACGCUUUCCUGGGUAGCAUGAAACGCGGACUCGAUUCCGACCUGAGGCC
This is a non-coding RNA of Parelaphostrongylus tenuis, 73 nucleotides long. NCBI's taxonomy places the organism in Eukaryota, Metazoa, Nematoda, Chromadorea, Rhabditida, Metastrongylidae. The record is from the annotation of a GenBank genome assembly.